GUAGGUGGCAAGCGUUGUCCGGAAUUAUUGGGCGUAAAGCGCGCGCAGGUGGUUCCUUAAGUCUGAUGUGAAAGCCCCCGGGCUCAACCGGGGAGGGUCAUUGGAAACUGGGGAACUUGAGUGCAGGAGAGGAAAGUGGAAUUCCACGUGUAGCGGUGAAAUGCGUAGAUAUGUGGAGGAACACCAGUGGCGAAGGCGACUUUCUGGCCUGUAACUGACACUGAGGCGCGAAAGCGUGGGGAGCAAACAGGAUUAGAUACCCUGGUAGUCCACGCCGUAAACGAUGAGUGCUAAGUGUUGGGGGGUUUCCGCCCCUCAGUGCUGCAGCUAACGCAUUAAGCACUCCGCCUGGGGAGUACGGCCGCAAAGGCUG
This 373-nucleotide ribosomal RNA is filed under the name uncultured organism. RNAcentral's name for it is "partial 16S ribosomal RNA". It matches the Rfam family "Bacterial small subunit ribosomal RNA", at positions 527 to 896 of the family's 1533-position model. The record is from RNAcentral.